CCUACGGGUGGCAGCAGUGGGGAAUAUUGCACAAUGGGGGAAACCCUGAUGCAGCGACGCCGCGUGAGUGACGAAGUAUUUCGGUAUGUACAGCUCUAUCAGCAGGGAAGAAAUACUUACCUUACGGUCAGCAGACGGUACCUCACUCAGAAGCCCCGGCUAACGACGUGCACGCAGCGGCGGUAAUACGUAGGGGGCAAGCGUUAUCCGGAUUUACUGGGUGCAAAGGGAGCGGGGUCGGCAGCGCUAGUCUUGAGUGAACUCCCAUGGCUUAACCAUGGAACUGCUUUGGAAACUGUGCAGCUGGAGUGCAGGAGAGGUAAGCGGAAUUCCUAGUGUAGCGGUGAAAUGCGUAGAUAUUAGGAGGAACACCAGUGGCGAAGGCGGCUUACUGGACUGUAACUGACGUUGAGGCUCGAAAGCGUGGGGAGCAAACAGGAUUAGAUACCCCAGUAGUA
This 458-nucleotide ribosomal RNA is filed under the name uncultured bacterium. Its description in RNAcentral is "partial 16S ribosomal RNA". It matches the Rfam family "Bacterial small subunit ribosomal RNA", at positions 338 to 795 of the family's 1533-position model. The record is from RNAcentral.